AUGACGCUAUAUCAGCAAUUAUCUGAGCAAUAUACCUUACAAGACUGCUAUGAGGUUGGACUAGUUGAUAAAACCCUGGCGAAUGAGGCACCCUUUGAUAUUUGCAGUUGCCAAUUUGCCUUGCAUUACUCCUGGUCCACGGAAGCGCGUGCAAGGAGAGCCCUGGCUAAUAUUUCAGCCUCGCUUCGCCCCGGCGGAACUUUCAUUGGAACCAUGCCAGACGCCAAUGUGAUCAUCAAGAAGCUGAGACAAACUCAAGGAUUGUUCUUUGGAAACAGUGUGUACUGGGUGAGAUUUGAUGAGGAAUUUUCUGAAAAGAAAUUCAAGUCUUCAAGCCCCUUUAGUAUCAAGUACAUGUUUCACCUUGAGGGUUGUGUUGAUUGCCCUGAAUGGCUCGUCCCCUUUCACGUAUUCAAAUCAUUGGCAGAAGAGUACGGUAUGGAGUUGGUUUUUGUGAAAAACAAUCACAAGUUUGUACACGAGUAUAUGAAGCUACCAGAGUAUGAGGCUUUGAUGCAGACGAUUGGUGCGUUAGGGGGUCAAAAUUCAAUAUAAAAGACGAAUGGGAAGUGGCCUAUCUAUACCUGUCCUUUGUCUUGAGGAAACGAGGCCAACCAGCUUGAAAUUCAUCCAACACC
Fragaria vesca subsp. vesca is the source of this 638-nucleotide RNA transcript. It is a transcript of the gene named mRNA cap guanine-N7 methyltransferase 1-like, with no coding region annotated. The transcript is spliced from 2 exons. The record is from RefSeq and is a predicted model, not a curated record. NCBI's taxonomy places the organism in Eukaryota, Viridiplantae, Streptophyta, Magnoliopsida, Rosales, Rosaceae.